UACAGAGGGUGCGAGCGUUAAUCGGAAUUACUGGGCGUAAAGCGUGCGUAGACGGUUAUCUAAGUCGGAUGUGAAAGCCCCGGGCUCAACCUGGGAAUUGCAUUCGAGACUGAAUAGCUAGGGUGCGGUAGAGGGAAGCGGAAUUUCCGGUGUAGCGGUGAAAUGCGUAGAUAUCGGAAGGAACAUCAGUGGCGAAAGCGGCUCCCUGGACCAGCACCGACGUUCAGGCACGAAAGCGUGGGGAGCAAACAGG
This 253-nucleotide ribosomal RNA is filed under the name uncultured bacterium. RNAcentral describes it as "partial 16S ribosomal RNA". It matches the Rfam family "Bacterial small subunit ribosomal RNA", at positions 524 to 776 of the family's 1533-position model. The record is from RNAcentral.